AUUUCCGAAAAGUGUUAAUCCAAUAAUGUUAAACAGAAAAAAUAAAUAUAUUCAAUAAAAAUAUUGUUUUAAUGAAUGCACAAUGUCAUGGCUUAAUAAUGUUAAAUAUGUCAACACAAAUGAAAAUCAGUCUAGCAUAGGAAGAAUUGGGGGAAUUACAUGGCGAAACAGCGAAUUGCGCAGUGGUAUUGUUGUGAAUCAGCGUAAAUUAAGCUGGCAUAAACUGAGAGCUACCUGUAGUAUAUUUAUAAUACUCAAGAUAUCAGCACAUGAAGCAGUGAGAUAAAAACAAGAUUUAUUUACGGCAAAAACGUUUUCGGUAUGGG
This 326-nucleotide long non-coding RNA is filed under the name Androctonus crassicauda. Lineage: Eukaryota; Metazoa; Arthropoda; Arachnida; Scorpiones; Buthidae. The record is from RNAcentral.